CCCAGACUCCUACGGGAGGCAGCAGUGGGGAAUAUUGCACAAUGGGCGAAAGCCUGAUGCAGCGACGCCGCGUGAGUGAAGAAGUAUUUCGGUAUGUAAAGCUCUAUCAGCAGGGAAGAAAAUGACGGUACCUGACUAAGAAGCCCCGGCUAACUGCGUGCCAGCAGCUGCGGUAAUACGUAGGGGGCAAGCGUUAUCCGGAUUUACUGGGUGUAAAGGGAGCGUAGACGGCGAAGCAAGUCUGAAGUGAAAACCCCGGGCGCAACCCUGGGACUGCUUUGGAAACUGUUUUGCUAGAGUGUCGGAGAGGUAAGUGGAAUUCCUAGUGUAGCGGUGAAAUGCGUAGAUAUUAGGAGGAACACCAGUGGCGAAGGCGGCUUACUGGACGGUAACUGACGUUGAGGCUCGAAAGCGUGGGGAGCAAACAGGAUUAGAUACCCUUGUAUAU
RNAcentral lists this ribosomal RNA (448 nucleotides) under uncultured bacterium. Its description in RNAcentral is "bacterial SSU rRNA". It matches the Rfam family "Bacterial small subunit ribosomal RNA", at positions 330 to 794 of the family's 1533-position model. The record is from RNAcentral.